CUGCUCACUUAGGUAGCACAUACACUAAAAUUGGAAAGAUACAGAGAUUAGCAUGGUCCCUGCACAAGGAGGACCCGCAAAUUCAUGAAGUGUUCCAUAUAAAA
Molecule: small nuclear RNA, 104 nt
Filed under: Sciurus vulgaris (Eurasian red squirrel)
Lineage: Eukaryota; Metazoa; Chordata; Mammalia; Rodentia; Sciuridae
Source: RNAcentral